UACGUAGGGUGCUAGCGUUGUCCGGAUUUAUUGGGCGUAAAGGGCUCGUAGGCGGCGUGUCGCGUCGGGAGUGAAAGCCCGCUGCUUAACGGCGGGUUGGCUUCCGGUACGGGCAUCGCUGGAGUGCGGCAGGGGAGACUGGAAUUCCCGGUGUAGUGGUGGAAUGCGUAGAUAUCGGGAGGAACACCAGUGGCGAAGGCGGUUGCCUGGAGCUUUGCUGACGCUGAGGCGCGAAAGCGUGGGGAGCGAUCCGG
RNAcentral lists this ribosomal RNA (254 nucleotides) under uncultured bacterium. Its description in RNAcentral is "partial 16S ribosomal RNA". It matches the Rfam family "Bacterial small subunit ribosomal RNA", at positions 524 to 776 of the family's 1533-position model. The record is from RNAcentral.